Molecule: ribosomal RNA, 550 nt
Filed under: uncultured bacterium
Lineage: Bacteria
Description: bacterial SSU rRNA
Rfam family: Bacterial small subunit ribosomal RNA
Source: RNAcentral
AUGGUACUGGAAGAAUAAGCACCGGCUAACUACGUGCCAGCAGCCGCGGUAAUACGUAGGGUGCGAGCGUUAAUCGGAAUUACUGGGCGUAAAGCGUGCGCAGGCGGUCUUGUAAGACAGUCGUGAAAGCCCCGGGCUUAACCUGGGAACUGCGAUUGUGACUGCAAGGCUAGAGUGUGUCAGAGGGGGGUGGAAUUCCACGUGUAGCAGUGAAAUGCGUAGAGAUGUGGAGGAACACCGAUGGCGAAGGCAGCCCCCUGGGAUAACACUGACGCUCAUGCACGAAAGCGUGGGGAGCAAACAGGAUUAGAUACCCUGGUAGUCCACGCCCUAAACGAUGUCAACUGGUUGUUGGAAGGGUAACCUUUUAGUAACGAAGCUAACGCGUGAAGUUGACCGCCUGGGGAGUACGGUCGCAAGAUUAAAACUCAAAGGAAUUGACGGGGACCCGCACGAGCGGUGGAUGAUGUGGUUUAAUUCGAUGCAACGCGAAAAACCUUACCUACACUUGACAUGCCAGAUAUCCUGCAGAGAUGUGGGAGUGCCGCAA